UACAGAGGGUGCAAGCGUUGUUCGGAAUUAUUGGGCGUAAAGCGCGUGUAGGCGGCUUGUUAAGUCGGGUGUGAAAGCCCUCAGCUCAACUGAGGAAGGGCGCCCGAAACUGGCGAGCUUGAGUGUCGGAGAGGAUGGCGGAAUACCCCAAGUAGAGGUGAAAUUCGUAGAUAUGGGGUGGAACACCGGUGGCGGAGGCGGCCAUCUGGACGACAACUGACGCUGAGACGCGAAAGCCAGGGGAGCAAACGGG
This 253-nucleotide ribosomal RNA is filed under the name uncultured bacterium. RNAcentral describes it as "partial 16S ribosomal RNA". It matches the Rfam family "Bacterial small subunit ribosomal RNA", at positions 524 to 776 of the family's 1533-position model. The record is from RNAcentral.